Molecule: long non-coding RNA, 1245 nt
Organism: Diachasmimorpha longicaudata
Lineage: Eukaryota; Metazoa; Arthropoda; Insecta; Hymenoptera; Braconidae
Exons: 3
Source: RefSeq, a predicted model, not a curated record
GUUAUAAACCUCCUAGACCUACUGAUGACUUCAUCCAAGUGUAUAGCCACACAUCUUAAUGGAUUAUCAAAAAUGAAAAGAGUAGAAAUUGCGAGAAAAAAUAGACUUAACCAACAAACCCCAGACAAUGUACCUGAUUCCUUCGCGAACACAGAAAUCCAUUAAGAACGUGAUGGUAAAACUGAUGCAGAGGAGACAAUACAUUCGAAUUCCUCUGAUGAAAAUCAUGGAUGUGAAGGUUUAGAUUUGGAUUAUAAUUACGCGUCUGAUUAGAAGACAAAUACAUGGUUGCCCCAUACACUCUGCCCACCUCAGUUUACAAGUUCACCCAUUGAGCCAGCGAUUCGAAAGUAAAACCCGAAUAAGAAGUUCAUUACUUUUAACUAGAUAAAUUCAACAGUUCAUCCUCGAGACUCCUGCUCAGAGUACUCUAUCAUGUUCAGGAUCACGUUAGCGACAUCCGGAUAUGUUUGAUUUGUCAAGACAGUCUGCAGGCCAUUCAAUAUCUAAUUGAGGAGCUCGAUAUGAAUUUACCUAUUGAUCAAAUGGAUAAACUCUAUUGACAGCAAGCAAAGACGGGAUAAAUUAUGAGAGUAUUACAACAAAACCCACAGAUAGACUGACUUGUCCAGUCUGUAAGCGCGCAGUGGGCUUAGCACACAAAUGUAAAAAUUGUCAUCUUCCAGUUCAGGCUAUUGAUACUUGCUCAAUACCAGAUGCUGAAGCCAACGAAGGUAUUGGACAGUUGAGGGCUUCUCAUAUUUGUAACGAAAAGACUUCUAGGAUUAUCGAUUCUCCUUUCUCAGAAUCUAAUUCCAAAUUUCCAAGCUGUAAAAAAUCUGGCAGGAAACUGAGCAUUUGCAUUGUACAUAUGAUUUGUUCUAUACGAGUCGCUAUCGUUACGUUAUUCCAUACAAAAAUAAUUUACCAUGACAAUGAUUUUUCACAAGUUUGAUUAAUGUCUUCAAUGGAAUAUCAAGUUUUGUUUAUUCGAGUUCAAUUUAAGAAAUCAUGGGUGUAAUCUUGAGGAAGCAAAAUUACAAUUCGUCCAAAAUAACAUUUGACGAACCUGAAAUUCUAUAAUUACGAUUAGUCAUUUUUUCGUUGUAUUCUCUUUUCACUUAAUUUUGUCGCCGAAAAAAAGAUUUUGAAUCAUUCUAGAAGUACCUCAUUAUUAUAGAUCUAUUUUUAUCGAAACAUUUUCUUCAAAUUGACUUAUUUUUCUUAAAAAUCUGUCGGAGUAUA